UGGCGACCGGCGCACGGAUGAGUAACACGUAUCCAACCUGCCGAUAACUCGGGGAUAGCCUUUCGAAAGAAAGAUUAAUACCCGAUAGCAUAAUGAUUCCGCAUGGUUUCAUUAUUAAAGGAUUCCGGUAAAGGAUGGGGAUGCGUUCCAUUAGGUUGUUGGUGAGGUAACGGCUCACCAAGCCUUCGAUGGAUAGGGGUUCUGAGAGGAAGGUCCCCCACAUUGGAACUGAGACACGGUCCAA
RNAcentral lists this ribosomal RNA (244 nucleotides) under uncultured bacterium. RNAcentral's name for it is "partial 16S ribosomal RNA". It matches the Rfam family "Bacterial small subunit ribosomal RNA", at positions 89 to 334 of the family's 1533-position model. The record is from RNAcentral.